This 461-nucleotide ribosomal RNA is filed under the name uncultured bacterium. RNAcentral's name for it is "bacterial SSU rRNA". It matches the Rfam family "Bacterial small subunit ribosomal RNA", at positions 11 to 459 of the family's 1533-position model. The record is from RNAcentral.
GUUUGAUCCUGGCUCAGAGCGAACGUUAGCGGCAGGCUUAACACAUGCAAGUCGAGCGAGAAAGGGGCUUCGGCUCCGAGUAAAGCGGCGGACGGGUGCGUAACACGUGGAUAAUCUGCCUCGUGGCGGGGGACAACAGUCCGAAAGGACUGCUAAUACCGCAUGUCAGGUCGGAAACUCCGGUUUCUGACGAAAAAGAGGGCGCCCGCAAGGGGCUCUCACCACGAGAUGAGUCCGCGUCCCAUCAGCUAGUUGGCGGUGUAAUAGACCACCAAGGCUUAGACGGGUAGCUGGUCUGAGAGGAUGACCAGCCACACUGGGACUGAGACACGGCCCAGACUCCUACGGGAGGCAGCAGUGGGGAAUAUUGGACAAUGGGCGAAAGCCUGAUCCAGCCAUGCCGCGUGAGUGGAUGAAGGCCUGGUCGUAAGACUCUGUGGGAGGGACGGAAAAGGACGUGA